UUUAUUUUUGUUGCUUUGUCACUUCGUUUUCUCAUUUUAAUUCCUUUUCUUUUUGGAUUUUUAAUUUCUUCGUCAUUUCCUUUUUUUCUUUGUUUGUCUUUUUUCUCGUUUUUGUGGACAUUUUUUUAAAAUCUUGAACAUUUUUCUGUUCACUGUAUUCAGAAAAUGUUCAUGAUAUUCAAGAAAAUUUCAUAGUAUUCUAAAUUUGUUCACCAUAAUUUGACAAAAUUUUCAUCAAAUUUAAAAAAUGUUCAUCUAGUUUUCACAAAGUUUAUCUGAUUUUCAAAAAGGUUUUCUUAAAUUGAGAAUUUGUUCACCAAGUUUUAAAAAAUAAAAAAUGUUCAACUAAUUCAAAAAAUAUUCUUUUUGUUCAAAAUUUGUUCAGCGUAAUUUUUAAAAAUGUUCAUCAAAUUCAAAAAAUGUUCUUCCAAUUUUUUUAGAAAAUGUUCUUGAAUUGAGAAUUUGUUCAUCAAGUUCAAAAAAUGCUUUUCAAACUGAAAAUUUGUUCAUCUGAUAAAAGAAGUGUUCAUCAAUAUCUAAAUUCACAAAAAAAUUUAAAAAUCAUGAACAUUUUUCAAAUUCGCAUUUUUUUUAAAUUGGACAUUUUGAAAUCCCGAAUUAUUAUAAAAACAAAAAAGAAAAUGAAAAAAAUGAAACAAGAAAAUAAGGGGCUCCCCACUACCUCUCAUGGGCUGGCCCAAAGCAGGCGCACAGGGGCAGUGUGGGAUGCGCGUGUGUCCGCUCUCUGGUUCGUGCUGCGCCAUAUAGGAGCUCCCAUAAAAACUGACCCACCCGUGAACAAAAUAAUUUUCUACACCGAGAGAAGAGGGACGAGGAUCCCCUGACGUGGGCUACCCUGCCAUUGAGACACCGACACAUGGGUCCCAUCAAGCACGGGGCCUACAUGUCAGCGACCGAAAGGCAGCGAAAGGUAGGGUUAGCUACGUCAGAGGAUCUGUAUGCAAAGUGGGAAAAAAAGAGUCGAAGCAAAGAGGACAUAGCCAUGUCAAAAAACACCCAGAAAAAUUAAAAGGUUAAAAAAACACCCACAAAAAAUUAAAAGGUUACAUCGAAGUCCAUGGGAUUCGUCUUCAUUCUCCCGAAUGGCCAUUAUGUCAUGAUGGUAUUCCACCACAUGCCGCUCCAUCAUCGGAGCCUACGUGUUGACGGUCCUACUGGACGAGCGCCCCGCAGAAGAGACCUUCGCCGUUGGAAGAGCUGCAGAUCCAAGAACGAAACAUCCAUCAUUUCCCACUUGUCUGACGCCGGCACUAGAGGUUGCAUUUGCACCGACAUGAUGGAAACAUGGCGGAGGGCCAAACCGCAAAAAAGACCUAGCGGUUGGUUAGCGUUUUUGUCAACCCAUCUAAUCUUUGUGACCUACUAUGCGCCAACAGGUGGGAAUAGCCACAAAUGAAAUGGUGACACUUUGGCGGCAAAGUAUCAUCGGUGGCACGCAACACAAGAAAUAGAUGUCUCACCGCUAUGUGUCCGUCCUGGUUCGACUGUUGUGGUCUACUCCAUGCAUCACCAAGAGAUCAUGUGGUCAUCAUUCGGGAUUCACGAGGUCAAGCGAUUGCUGCUGGAUCAGGUAAUAUACCUUAUAUUAUCAGCCCACUGCACACUGAAACGAUUGCCUGUUUAAAGAGCCUACAAGCGGCUCAACAGCUGGGUAUGACUUCUGUGAUUGUGGAGACGGACUCCACCAAUCUCAUGCAUGCAAUAAAAGGAAGGGACCAAGACCGGUCUGUACUUGGUGUCAUUUUCAAGGAGAUUAAAAUCUUUGCUAGGUUAAAAUUUUCUCGUUUUGAGAUUGUUUUUUGCCCAAGGGGUUGUAAUAAAGUAGCUGACACUUUAGCUGCUCAUGGUGUGCGUGUGACCCAUGCAUCCUUGGCCUUGUGGCCUGAUGGGGCGCCAGACUUUGUUCAUGCGAUGAUUGCCAGCGAUUUGCCUGGUUGUUUUGGUUAAUGGAAGAGAGUAUUCCGGCUAAAAAAAAGAGAUCAUGUGGUCUUUUGUUGGUCUCAUGAAUCCAGCGGAUUCUCGUCUGAUGCUUCAGCCUGACUUGGCGAUUGGUGGUAUUGACGUUGAUGCCAUGAUUGCUUAGGUUUGCGGUUCCACGUUCCAUUAUUUUGUGCUUCUUAUGGUGCGGUGACGAAAUAGUAAUUCAACAACCUUGCCUUGUAAAGGGUGUGUCAUUGGUCAGGCUGCAUCCAGUGAUGUUAAAUUCUCGUAUGUUGAGGUUGGCGUCUAUCACUUGUUGAGGCGGGCAACUCAUGUGUCUAUUCAAGGCCUUUGAUGUUAGUCGAUCUAGUUCAACUUUGGUCGUCUUCUCCAAAAGUAUGGAGGAAGAGUUCAAUAUGUUGUGAAACUUAAAUUCCCUCGCAAAAAAAGUGAAACUUAUUUUUUUAUCAGGCUUUUUGUUGUUCGUGUUUGUUUCACCUUUUAUUUGACCCAACAUGAUUUUUCUAGUUAAUCAAUAAAAUCAUCUUAUUUACUAUUUCUUUUCACUAUUUCCUUGGACAGCAAUUUUGAAUUCAACACAUGCAUCACUUAUAUAUGCACCCACUUGAGUGCGCUUCAAUCUCAUGCUAAAAUAUAUAAAUCAUAUAUACCUAAAUAGUUGAUCUUUGAUAUAUAUAUAUAUUUCUCUCAACACACAUGCUAACUCACCAUACAUGCCACGUCAAUAAUUAUUGAAUGUUUCCUAUUUUUUAGUUGCAUGCUCCAUCCCACUAUCUACCUAUUUUUUCAUAUCCAUGCAACUCAUCCACACCAAUAAGUCAUGCAUGUUUACCAGGACAUCGAUAUGUCAUAUCAUCAUAGUUAAUCAUCAUUAUAUAACAUCACAGAAGAUGUGAAAAUGGUGAAAAUGUGAGAUUUUGGGAAGACUGGUGGAUAAAAGAUAAACCUCUUAUAAAAUAUAUUUUGAUAAGAACAUAUCUUCAUUUGAUUUUUUUCUAAAGGACUUGGCCAAGUAUAAUUUAGAAGGACUCUGUUUGGACACAUCAAAGAAGUUUGUGAUGGUUGGAUCUUGAUUGAUAGAAAGAUUCUAUUAGAUGGACAGUAAACAAAAAAGGGUUGUACUCUGUAAUAUAUUAUUAUAGUUUAUUGAUAGAAAAUGGGAUGAAAUACCCACACACUUUUUUUGGAAAGCUAAAGUGACACCCAGAGUUAAGGUCUUUAUGUGGUUAGUUCUUAGGAAUAAAUUUUUUACCAAGGAUAACAUGAUUAGAGGGAGGAUAGAUUGGGGAUAAGAAAUGUCCCUACUGUGGAAAAGAUGAAUCCAUUAACCACCUGCGCCGCGGCCAGCACCUGCCCCGCCACCAGCUGCACGGCCUGCUCCGCCGCUACCGUCCUGCGCCUACGCUCCACGGCUACCUACGACGCCCGCCACCUUCCUGCGACGCCACGGGUGGGGCGCCUGCCACCUGCUCAACCCGCGGCACGGCCUCCUUCCGUGUGCCCGGCCGGAGUGCUCAAAGGUGGGGGGCUGCUGGAGCUAUUUGAACUAGGAGGAAGAACCCUAGGGUGAAAUGGCGAGCAGCGGCGACCCCAGAGUAUUUGGUGAGGCAGGCAUCGGGCCGGAGAUCCGCCGCGUCCACGACUGGGUUCCCGAGGGGUAAGUCUCGCCUCCUGUUUAGAUUGAGCUUAGUUGUGCAUCUGAACACUCGAUUCGAGUAGGUUUGCCCAAUUAGUGUGCUGAUUGCGUGUCUGUUUUUCGCCGGUUAAGAUGGAGUUACGGUUUGCUUUCUUGGUGCACAUUAGAAGGGACCCGUACAUGUUCGAUGCAAAGGAUAAGAAGAAAUACCAAGGAGGUUUUGGUUAUCGGUUGCCAAUGGCUAGUAAUUGAAGUUUCAGACGAUUUGGGAAGGUAAUUUGUAGCCAAUAUCCUUGGGGUUUGCUUGAUGAAGUGGUAUACAAAUACUAUGAUGGGGAAACGAAAUGGGUGACAGUUAGUAAUCAUGAAGAGCUAGCUACCAUGUUUGUUAGGCAUAAAGAGAAAGAUAAUUUUCAUGUGAGGCUGCAAGUUGAUGUGCUUGAGCAGGCAUUUGGACCUAGGAUGACGGGUGCAACAUCUCGGGGAGAACCAAGUCGUCGUAAUGGCAUCUCUAGCCAGAACAGUUCAGUUGGUGCACGACGACGUGGUGGCUCGACAAGUGUGGGCAACAGCAGUAGGGUCCCCCUUGAAGUGGAGCUUGAUGACUACAAUUCUGGGGUUGAUGAAGAGAAGCUAUAUUCUGAUGUUAUUCGGAAUUUACGACGGGCACCUCGGGCAGAAAACCAAGAUGAGGAUCACAAUGCAGUCCGUGUGGAUGAUGACGCAGUGGGUGAGGACGAAGACCUUGCAGCUGUUGAAUGGGACCCUUUGAACCCUCAUAUGGAAGAAGGUACAGUUUUUGCAUCCAUGAAUGAGUGUAGAAAUGCACUUGUGACAUACUGCAUCAAGGUAGAACGUACUUUCAAAAUUGACAAGAGUGAUCAAGUACGUUACAGAGUGCACUGUCCGACUGAGGGUUGUCCAUGGAGGCUGCUCGCAUCUAAAAUGCGAAAUAGCACUAAUGUUCAGGUCAAAGUGAACCCUUUUAAGCACACAUGCCAGGAAUCAACCCUUAGGAAGGAUACAAUCAGUAGAGCCAAGUCAAGAUGGAUGGCAGAAGAAGUAAAGAAGUGGGUGAAAGAAAACCAGCAAGUGGGUCCAAAGGAAUUGCAGAAGAACAUCAAAGAUAAGUUCAAGAUAGAUUUACCAUACAUGAGGUUUUUCAAUGGUAAACAACAUGUUAUGGAUUCUAUUUAUGGUAACUGGCAGGAAAGUUUUCGAUUGUUGUAUUCAUUCAAAGGUGAUGUGGAGAGGACAAGCCCAGGUAGUAUUGUAGAUAUUGAUCACCACACCAUGGAGUACACAUUCAGGGGAGUGACAAAGACCAAGGAAUGCUUUAGGAGGGUUUCUGUCUGCUUUGAGGCUUGUCGCCGGGGUUUUUUGGUAGGCCGCAGGCCUUAUUUGGCUAUUGAUGCCACUUUUCUCACAGGGAGGUUUAAAGGACAGUUAGUAGCAGCUUGUGCAGUUGAUGCACACAGUUUUGUAUUUCCAGUUGCCUACGGUGUGCUGGAGACAGAGUCUGAGGAGAGCUGGACUUGGUUUUUGCAUAAUCUGCACCGGUCUAUUGCACAUCCCAAUGGGUUGGUCAUUCAUACAGAUGCCUGCAAAGGUUUAGAAGUGGCCGUGGACAAUGUGCUCCUUGGAGUAGAGUAUAGGGAAUGCAUGCGUCACCUUGCUGCAAAUUUCAUGAAGAAAUUCAAAGGAAAGGUGUAUACCGACAAUUUAUGGCCAGCAUCUUUGACUUGCAGUGUGAAGAAGCACAACUACCACUUGAGGCAGUUAUACAUGAAUCCCAAAAUGAAAGAAUACUUGGAAACACACCACUCCAAGUUAUGGGCCAGAAGCCAAUUCAGUGAACUGAGCAAAGUUGACUAUGUGCACAAUAAUCUAGCAGAGUCUUUCAACUCAAUGAUCCGGAAACUAAAGGGUCAUUAUGUGGUGGAUUUGCUUGACAGGAUAAGGAUAGAAUACAUGCAGAAAUUUCAUUAUCGUGCAGGAAUAUCCGAGGCAAAAUUCAUGGGCCACAUUAUCAUCCCUGCCGUGAUGAAUGAACUGAAGCAGAAAACAACAGGCUUGGAAAUGAACAUGACUCUUUGCUCAGGUACCACAACAGAGAUAUCAUAUUUGGAUAAAGAGAAGAGGGAAUGGAGAUAUCCAGUGGAUUUAGAAGCUAGAACUUGCAGUUGUAGGCAAUGGCAGAUUACUGGGUUGCCAUGCAUUCAUGCCUUGUUUUUCAUCACUUCUCUCCCAGGUCCAACAGGGAACAUACAUCAGUAUGUGCAUGAUUACUACUCUGUUGCAAGGUUCAAAGCCACAUAUUCUUAUGCCUUGCCUGCUAUGGAGGGAAAACAACAAUGGGACAUGGUGGACCCUGGAUUCAAGCUUUGCGCUCCAGUUCUCAAGAGAGCAGUAGGUAGACCAAGGAAGAGUCGAAUCAGACCUCGCAGCGAAGGAGCUGGACUUGGAGCGAGGAAGCGUAAGUGCACAAGGUGUGGUGGGUCUGGUCAUUUUGGUAAGUAUUGUGAUAACACAGUAGAUCCAGCGUUCAGAGAGAGUUUCGAUGAAGGCUUCGAUGAAAAUGUUGGUCAGCAGCCGGUUGCCUCAAUAGAUGAUGACAAUGAUGGUCAAUAGCCGGUUGCAUCAGAUGAGGAUUUUGACGAGGUUCCAAAUGAUGAUGGUCAACAGCCGCAUGAUUUUGACGAUGAUCCAAAAUAUCCUCCAAAUAAUGAUUCAAGUGAGGCUCCAAAUGGUGAUCCAAGUGAGGCUCCAAAUAGUGAUCAUGGUGAUCCAAGUGAGGCUCCAAAUGGUGAUCAUGGUGAUCCAAGUGAGGCUCCAAAUGGUGAUCAUGGUGAUCCAAGUGAGGCUCCAAAUGGUGAUCAUGGUGAUCCAAGUGAGGCUCCAAAUGGUGAUCAUGGUGAUCCAAGUGAGGCUCCAAAUGAUGAUCCAAGUGAGGCUCCAAAUGGUGACCAACCUUCUGUUGUUGUGAGUUCUGCUAGGUAUGUAAAUCUUGCAAGGGUUAAAUACUACUGUACAUUUAUCACUUGACAUGAUCUCAUUACCCUUUAUGUUUUGCACAGCUCUAUGAUAGGUUUGAAGAAGACGCGCAAGGUACCGACAACCAAGAGGAGAAGAGAAGAAGCAAUGAGCACAAGGUGCACGAGGAGCAAAGUGAUGGCAAGAAGCUCAAGGAACAGACAGAAGCCCAACGCUAUAUAUGAAUAAUUAUGAAACAUUAUGAAUAAUGUUGUAUUUCUGUUGGAUGAUGUUGGACCUAUGUUAGAACUAUGUUUGACAUGAUGUUUAAAUCUGUUGGAUGAUGUUUGAAUGAGCACAUGGUUUUUCCUUUUUUUGAUUUUUUUGACUUUUUUGAUUUUUUUUUGCUCAUUUGAAUUCUGGACAAACCUAACUUUGACCAAGAUUUAAACAAGUCUAAAACAUCAAAAUGAAAAACUAAGCCUGGAUUCUUCUUAGUCAAUCCAAAAUGAAGCUGUGGUGAGGUUUUUGAAAUUUUCAUGAAAAAUGUGCUAAAAAGAGGGGUCCAAAGGUAGGGUAAACGACCUCAUUUCUAAGCAAGGUUUUUUUCGACCUUGUCUAAAUCAGCCAAAUAACUUUCCUACACAUAUAUUCUAUAUAUACAGACUAUGUGCACUGGUUUUUCCAUCUUUUGAUUUUUUUAAUUUGUUUUGCUCCUUUGAAUUUCGCCAAACUUAACUUUGACCAAGAUUUAAACAAGUGUAAAACAUCAAAAUGAAAAACUAAGCUUGGAUCCUUCUUAGUCACUCCAAGAUGAAGCUGUGGUGAGUUUUUUGAAAUUUUCAUGUUCAUUUCCCCAAAACACUUCUCUUCACUUCAUACAAGAGAGUUUGAGAUACUCGAGAUAUCACACAAUACACAUGAACUUAUCGUUUAAAUGUAUGUAAACCUUGUUUAUCAACUUAAAUCGUUAGUAUAUGACAUAAGAAGACUAUGUGCGCAGGUUUUUUAUUUUUCUAUUUUUAUUUAAUUUAUUAUGCUCAUUUGAAAUCUGGUCAAACAUAGCUUUGACUGCUCCAAACCCCUCCCAAACCCCGCUAACCCUAGCGCUGAACAAGGACCGUUCAUCUAACCCUAGCGGCGAUCAUGGGCCGUCGAUCUAACCCUUCUAGAAGGAAUCUGCGGGGAGGUGGGGGGGCGAUCCGCGAGGUGCAAUCUGAUUGGUUGGGAGAUUGUUUUUUUAAACAAAUACCGGGCGCGCUGGAUGGACCGUUGGGCCGUCUCGUUGUCUGGGCCUGAGACCAUAGUAAAUAGCCCGUCUCAGCCUUUCCAGGCCUUGCAUGCAUGGGAGGCGGCGACGUGGGUUUGCAUGUGCGGGAGGCGGCGACGUGCAUGCAUGCUAGCGAGGCGAGCGAGGCGCGCUAGGCGAGCUAGGCUAGCGAGGCGAGUUAGGUGGUUCAGGGCAGCGAGUCAGAUGCACCGCCCGGUCAAAGAGCUAUGCAGUGAUUCAGAUGCACGCACGCGCCCCAUGCAUCGUUUUCGUGCAAAAAUUUAAGAGUGCAAAACGUAACGGAUACACACACGCGUCCGGAUUCACACACGCACCGUUCUCAUCCGCUCUCUCUUCCUCUCCCACCCACAGGCCUAUAAAUGGGGUGCCUCUCUUCCUCUCCCACCCACAAGCCAGAUCCGAUCCAUUCUCUCCAACUUCAAACACCCAAGCAACCGAGCCCUCCCCAAGCGAGACCAAGUGAAGAUGCAGUUCAACAGGCCGACCUUCAACCGUCCGCCUGUCAUGCCGGAGCCGCGCUACCCACCGGGCGUGCUUGUGGAGAGGGAGCUCCGUGUGUGGGCUAUUGCUACCUCUUGGGCACUGCGUUGGUUUUCCCUUGAAGAGGAAAGGGUGAUGCAGUAAAGUAGCGUAAGUAUUUCCCUCAGUUUUUGAGAACCAAGGUAUCAAUCCAGUAGGAGGCCACGCCCAAGUCCGUCGCACCUACACAAACAAAUAAAAACCUCGCAACCAACGCAAUAAAGGGGUUGUCAAUCCCUUCACGGUCACUUACGAAAGUGAGAUCUGAUAGAUAUGAUAAGAUAAUAUUUUUGGUAUUUUCAUAAUAAAGAUGCAAAGUAAAAUAAAAGGCAAUAAAAAUAACUAAGUGUUGGAAGAUUAAUAUGAUGGAGAAUAGACCCGGGGGCCAUAGAUUUCACUAGUGGCUUCUCUCGAGAGCAUAAGUAUUACGGUGGGUGAACAAAUUACUGUUGAGCAAUUGAUAGAAUUGAGCAUAGUUAUGAGAAUAUCUAGGUAUGAUCAUGUAUAUAGGCAUCACGUCCGCGACAAGUAGACCGACUCCUGCCUGCAUCUACUACUAUUACUCCACACAUCGACCGCUAUCCAGCAUGCAUCUAGAGUAUUAAGUUCAAAAGAACAGAGUAACACUUUAAGUAAGAUGACAUGAUGUAGAGGGAUAAACUCAUGCAAUAUGAUAUAAACCCCAUCUUGUUAUCCUCGAUGGGAACAAUACAAUACGUGCCUUGCUUCCCCUGCUGUCACUUGGAAAGGACACCGCAAUAUUGAACCCAAAGCUAAGCACUUCUCCCAUUGCAAGAAAGAUCAAUCUAGUAGGCCAAACCAAGCUGAUAAUUCGAAGAGACUUGCAAAGAUAACCAAUCAUACAUAAAAGAAUUAAGAGGAGAUUCAAAUACUGUUCAUAGAUAAACUUGAUCAUAAACCCACAAUUCAUCGGUCUCAACAAACACACCACAAAAGAAGAUUACAUCGAAUAGAUCUCCACGAGAAUCGUGGAGAACUUUGUAUUGAGAUCCAAAAAGAGAGAAGAAGCCAUCUAGCUAAUAACUAUGGACCCGAAGGCCUGAGGUAAACUACUCACACAUCAUCGGAGAGGCUAUGGUGUUGAUGUAGAAGCCCUCCGUGAUCAAUGCCCCCUCCGGCAGGACGCCGGAAAAGGCCCCAAGAUGGGAUCUCACGGGUACAGAAGGUUGCGGCGGUGGAAUUAGGUUUUCGUGGAUGCUUCUGUUGGUUUGGGGUACGUAGGUAUAUAUAGGAGGAAGAAGUACGUCGGCGGAGCAACAUGGGCCCCACGAGGAUGGAGGGCGCGCCGGGGGGGGGGGGGUAGGCGCGCCCCCUACCUCGUGCCCUCCUAGUUGCUUUCUUGAUGUAGGGUCCAAGUCCUCUGGAUCACGUUUGUUCCGAAAAUCACGUUCCCGAAGGUUUCAUUCCGUUUGGACUCCGUUUGAUAUUCUUUUUCUGCGCAACACUGAAAUAGGCAAAAAAAUAGCAAUUUGGGCUGGGCCUCCGGUUAAUAGGUUAGUCCCAAAAAAUAAUAUAAAAGUGUAUAACAAAGCCCAUUAAUCAUCCAAAACAGAACAUAAUAUAGCAUGAAGCAAUCAAAAAUUAUAGAUACGCUGGAGACGUAUCAAGCAUCCCCAAGCUUAAUUCCUUCUCGUCCUCGAGUAGGUAAAUGAUAAAAACAGAAUUUUUGAUGCGGAAUGCUAAUUGGCAUAAUUUUUUAAUGUAACCCUCUUAAUUGUGGUAUGAAUAUUCAGAUCCGAAAGAUUCAAGAUAAAAGUUUAAUAUUGACAUAAAAGUAAUAAACUUCAACCAUACUAACUAAGCAAUUAUGUCUUCUCAAAAUAACAUGGCCAAAGAAAGUUCAUCCCUACAAAAUCAUAUGGUUUAGUCAUGCUCCAUUUCCAUCACACAAGAAUGCUCUCAUCAUGCAAAACCCCGAUGACAAGCCAAGCAAUUGUUUCAUACUUUAGUAAUCCCAAACUUUUUCAACCUUCACGCAAUACAUGAGCGUGAGCCAUGGAUAUAGCACUAUGGGUGGAAUAGAUAAUGAUGGGGGUUAUGUGGAGAAGACAAAAGGGGAUAGUCUCACAUCAACACGGCUAAUCAACGGGCUAUGGAGAUGCCCAUCGAUUGAUGUUGAUGCAAGGAGUAGGGAUUGCCAUGCAACGGAUGCACUAGAGCUAUAAAUGCAUGAAAGCUCAACAAAAGAAACUAAGUGGGUGUGCAUCCAACUUGCUUGCUCACGAAGACCUAGGGCAUUUGAGGAAGCCAAUUGUUGGAAUAUACAAGCCAAGUUCUAUAAUGAAAAAUUCCCACUAGUAUAUGAAAGUGACAAACCAAGAGACCAUCAAGAUUCAUAUUGCAAAACAAAUAUUUAAUAGGAGACACAUCAAUAACUUUUAGAUCUUCAUCUUUAUUUUCAGAAAAAAAAUCCGGUUUGGCGGCCAUCUUAUUAACUAAGGUAGCCUGCUUAUCCGAAAUUUCAGCAAUUAAUUUCUCGAGAUGAGCAAUCUGAUAUUUCAACCCAUAAAAUUCCUUGGACAUAUCGUCGAGCUCUUUAUUCAUGUAACCCAUAAAGCCUUUAUGUUCCUUAAGCUCGUUCCUAAAGAAAUUAUUAUGCUCAAAUUGUAAAGUCAUAAAACUCCUGACGUUACUUUCGAUCUCUUCUAACCUUUUAAGGUGAAGAUCACCAAAUCUAGGUAGAGCCAUCGUGACAAACAAGCAAUCCAACACACGAGCAAACAAGAAACGAGCGGAAAAAAAAGAGGCGAACGGAAAAGAGAGGGCGAAUAAAACGGCAAGGGUGAAGUGGGGGAGAGGAAAACGAGAGGCAAAUGGCAAAUAAUGUAAUGCAGGAGAUAAGAGUUUGUGAUGGGUACUUGGUAUGUUGACUUUUGCGUAGACUCCCCGGCAACGGCGCCAGAAAUUCUUCUUGCUAUCUCUUGAGCACUGCGUUGGUUUUCCCUUGAAGAGGAAAGGGUGAUGCAGUAAAGUAGCUUAAGUAUUUCCCUCAGUUUUUGAGAACCAAGGUAUCAAUCUAGUAGGAGGCCACGCCAAAGUCCCUCGCACCUACACAAACAAAUAAAAAACUCGCAACCAACGCAAUAAAGGGGUUGUCAAUCCCUUGACGGUCACUUACGAAAGUGAGAUCUGAUAGAUAUGAUAAGAUAAUAUUUUUGGUAUUUUUAUAAUAAAGAUGCAAAGUAAAAUAAAAGGCAAUAAAAAUAACAGUGUUGGAAGAUUAAUAUGAUGGAGAAUAGACCCGGGGGCCAUAGGUUUCACUAGUGGCUUCUCUCGAGAGCAUAAGUAUUACGGUGGGUGAACAAAUUACUGUUGAGCAAUUGAUAGAAUUGAGCAUAGUUAUGAGAAUAUCUAGGUAUGAUCAUGUAUAUAGGCAUCAUGAUACGUCUCCAACGUAUCUAUAAUUUUUGAUUAUUCCAUGCUAUAUUAUAUUCUGUUUUGGACAUUAUUGGGCUUUAUUAUACACUUCUAUAUUAUUUUUGGGACUAACCUAUUAACCGGAGGCCCAACCCAGAAUUGCUGUUUUUUGCCUAUUUCAGAGUUUCGCAGAAAAAGAAUAUCAAACGGAGUCCAAACGGAAUGAAACCUUCGGGAACGUGAUUUUCGGAACGAACGUGAUCCAGAGGACUUGGACCCUACGUCAAGACAUCAACCAGGAGGGCACGAGGUAGGGGGGCGCGCCCUCAACCCUCGUGGGGCCCACGUUGCUCCACCGACGUACUUCUUCCUCCUAUAUAUACCUACGUACCCCCAAACUACCAGAUACGGAGCCAAAAAAAAACCUAAUUCCACCGCCGCAACCUUCUGUACCCGUGAGAUCCCAUCUUGGGGCCUGUUCCGGAGCUCCGCCGGAGGGGGCAUCGAUCACGGAGGGCUUCUACAUCAACACCAUAGCCUCUCCGAUGAAGUGUGAGUAGUUUACCUCAGACCAUCGGGUCCAUAGUUAUUAGCUAGAUGGCUUCUUCUCUCUUUUUGGAUCUCAAUACAAUGUUCUCCCCCUCUCUUGUGGAGAUCUAUUCGAUGUAAUCUUCUUUUGCGGUGUGUUUAUUGAGACCGAUGAAUUGUGGGUUUAUGAUCAAGUUUAUCUAUGAACAAUAUUUGAAUCUUCUCUGAAUUCUUUUAUGUAUGAUUUGUUAUCUUUGCAAGUCCCUUCGAAUUAUCAGUUUGGUUUGGCCUACUAGAUUGAUCUUUCUUGCAAUGGGAGAAGUGCUUAGCUUUGGGUUCAAUCUUGCGGUGUCCUUUCCCAGUGACAGUAGGGGCAGCAAGGCACGUAUAGUAUUGUUGCCAUCGAGGAUAACAAGAUGGGUUUUAUAUCAUAUUGCAUGAGUUUAUCCCUCUAUAUCAUGUCAUCUUGCUUAAAGCAUUACUCUGUUCUUAUGAACUUAAUACUCUAGAUGCAUGCUGGAUAGCGGUCGAUGUGUGGAGUAAUAGUAGUAGAUGCAGGCAGGAGUCGGUCUACUUGUCUCGGACGUGAUGCCUAUAUACAUGAUCAUACCUAGAUAUUCUCAUAACUAUGCUCAAUUCUGUCAAUUGCUCAACAGUAAUUUGUUCACCCACCGUAAUACUUAUGCUCUUGAGAGAAGCCACUAGUGAAACCUAUGGCCCCCGGGUCUAUUUUCUAUCAUAUUAAUCUUCCAACACUUAGCUAUUUUUAUUACCUUUUAUCCUAUCAUAUCUAUCACAUCUCACUCUCGUAAGUGACCGUGAAGGGAUUGACAACCCCUUUAUUCCGUUGGUUGCGAGGAUUUAUUUGUUUGUGUAGGUGCGAGGGACUUGCGCGUGGCCUCCUACUGGAUUGUUACCUUGGUUCUCAAAAACUGAGGGAAAUACUUACGCUACUUUGCUGCAUCACCCUUUCCUCUUCAAGGGAAAACCAACGCAGUGCUCAAGAGGUAGCAAGAAGGAUUUCUGGCGCCGUUGCCGGGGAGUCUACGCAAAAGUCAACAUACCAAGUACCCAUCACAAACCCUUAUCUCCCGCAUUACAUUAUUUGCCAUUUGCCUCUCAUUUUCCCCUCCCCCACUUCACCCUUGCCGUUUUAUUCGCCCUCUCUCUUUUCCCUUUUGUCUCCCUCUUUCUUUUUGCUCCGUGCACUUUCUGCCGUUAUGUCUGAAAUUGGGGAAAUUAUUGUCGAUAAGGAUAAUAAUAAUAUCAUGGAAAAUUCUGAUGCUCCUGCUAAAGAAUCCCCUACUUACAUACAAAAAAAUUCUGAAUUGGUAGUGGUAACAUUAUUGGAAAAGGAGUUAUCCAAGAUUUCUUUACUUGUGCCGUUACUUCGCCUUAUAUGGGUAGUUCUAUUCUUCAUAGAACUAGUAGUCUUGCGGACGCUAUUGCCAUGCUUGUAGUUGAACUUGAAAAACAAUUUAUGCACAUGCAUCCUUGCAUACAGAGGAUUUUCCUAGAAUUUUCUAACAUUGAGCACUCUUCUGUUAAGCAUGCCGCUACUAUCUUUUUGGCUCAUGAGUUCCGAUUUAUUAUAAAAGAGGCCAAAGAAAUCUUUGCACAUUAUAGGGUGGACGCUGGACAUCCUCCCAUAGAAACUAUCUUAUUUGAUCAAGAGGAAAUAAUGCGUUUUCAAUCUCUAGAUUAUGUUGCUUUUAAUGAAAAUCUUAGAAAAAAGGUUCCUACCAAUAUUCUAGUUGAUAGAAUUUCUGAACUUAAUGAUGAUUUUGCUAUUUGAAAUAAUGAGCUAGGAUAUUCUCUUGAAUAUAGGCUCACCAAGUUUUGUCAAAAGAAUGCUUAUAAUGAUGAAUUGGUUGUGCAAUAUGAAGGGCCAAUGGAGGAACCUAUACCUCCUAAAGUUGAUCUUGGGGAUUUUUGUCCCAUUAAAUUUAGUCCUUUUGAUUACUUUUGCUUGCCACAAAGAAGCCGAACGUAGAGAGUAUGAAAUGAGUUUUAAUGAUCUAUCUUAUUAUUAUGGCAGUACCUAGUUCUAUCCUUGAUUUUAUGCCUAGCUAGGGGCGUUAAACGAUAGCGCUUGUUGGGAGGCAACCCAAUUUUAUUUUUUAGUCUUUUUUGCUUUUUGCUUCUGUUUAGGAAUAAAUAUUUGAUCUAGCCUCUGGUUAGACUUGUUUUUAUGUUUUAAUUAGUGUUUGUGCCAAGUUAAACCUAUAGGAUCUUCUUGGAUGAUAGUUAUUUGAUCUUCCUGUAAAUUUCAGAAACUUUCUGUUCACGAAAAUAAUUCUUAAAAAUCACCAGAACGUGACAAAAUAUUCAUUCCAAUUUCUGCUGAUCAAUAAACAAAUUGUCUAGGUCGUACUUUUUUGGCUGAAUUUUUGGAGUUCCAGAACUUUGCGUUGGUUACAGAUUACUACAGACUGUUCUGUUUUUUACAGAUUCUGUUUUUCGGGUGUUGUUUGCUUAUUUUGAUGAAUCUAUGGCUAGUAAAAUAGUUUAUAAACCAUAGAGAAGUUGUAAUACAGUAGGUUUAACACCAAUAUAAAUAAAAAAUGAGUUCAUUACAGUACCUUGAAGUGGUAUUUUGUUUUCUUUCGCUAACAGAGCUCACGAGAUUUUCUGUUAAGUUUUGUGUUGUGAAGUUUUCAAGUUUUGGGUAAAAGAUUUGAUGGAUUAUGGAACAAGGAGUGGCAAGAGCCUAAGCUUGGGGAUGCCCAUGGCACCCCAAGAUAAUCUAAGGACACCAAAAAGCCAAAGCUUGGGGAUGCCCCGGAAGGCAUCCCCUCUUUCGUCUACUUCCAUCGGUAACUUUACUUGGAGCUAUAUUUUUAUUCACCACAUGAUAUGUGUUUUGCUUGGAGCGUCCUGUAUGAUUUGAGUCUUUGCUUUUUAGUUUACCACAAUCAUCCUUGCUGUACACACCUUUUGAGAGAGACACACAUGAUCCGGAAAUUAUUAGAAUACUCUAUGUGCUUCACUUAUAUCUUUUGAGUUAUAUAGUUUUUGCUCUAGUACUUCACUUAUAUCUUUUAGAGCAUGGUGG
This 15342-nucleotide long non-coding RNA is filed under the name Triticum aestivum (bread wheat). Its description in RNAcentral is "long non-coding RNA (TAES_LNC004795)". Lineage: Eukaryota; Viridiplantae; Streptophyta; Magnoliopsida; Poales; Poaceae. The record is from RNAcentral.